GACGAACGCUGGCGGCGUGCUUAACACAUGCAAGUCGAACGGAAAGGCCCUGCUUUUGUGGGGUGCUCGAGUGGCGAACGGGUGAGUAACACGUGAGUAACCUGCCCUUGACUUUGGGAUAACUUCAGGAAACUGUGGCUAAUACCGGAUAGGAGCUCCUGCUGCAUGGUGGGGGUUGGAAAGUUUCGGCGGUUGGGGAUGGACUCGCGGCUUAUCAGCUUGUUGGUGGGGUAGUGGCUUACCAAGGCUUUGACGGGUAGCCGGCCUGAGAGGGUGACCGGCCACAUUGGGACUGAGAUACGGCCCAGACUCCUACGGGAGGCAGCAGUGGGGAAUAUUGCAAAAUGGGCGGAAGCCUGAUGCAGCAACGCCGCGUGCGGGAUGACGGACUUCGGGUUGUAAACCGCUUUCGCCUGUGACGAAGCGUGAGUGACGGUAAUGGGUAAAGAAGCACCGGCUAACUACGUG
This 468-nucleotide ribosomal RNA is filed under the name uncultured bacterium. RNAcentral describes it as "partial 16S ribosomal RNA". It matches the Rfam family "Bacterial small subunit ribosomal RNA", at positions 28 to 507 of the family's 1533-position model. The record is from RNAcentral.